RNAcentral lists this ribosomal RNA (253 nucleotides) under uncultured bacterium. RNAcentral describes it as "partial 16S ribosomal RNA". It matches the Rfam family "Bacterial small subunit ribosomal RNA", at positions 524 to 776 of the family's 1533-position model. The record is from RNAcentral.
UACGUAGGUGGCAAGCGUUGUCCGGAUUUAUUGGGUUUAAAGGGUGCGUAGGCGGCCCUGUAAGUCAGUGCUGAAAUAUCCCGGCUUAACCGGGAGGGUGGCAUUGAUACUGCGGGGCUUGAGUAAAGUUGAGGUUGGCGGAAUUGACGGUGUAGCGGUGAAAUGCUUAGAUAUCGUCAAGAACACCGAUAGCGAAGGCAGCUUACUGGGCUGUAACUGACGCUGAGGCACGAAAGUGUGGGGAUCAAACAGG